AACUCUCUUGCACCUAGGAAGUAUCUUCAUCCAGAAGGAGUUCUCAGUCCUUUUUCUGAUUUUAACACUGCAGUCAACUGCAGACAAAGCCGCAAUCUUGUGACUUCACAGAGCCUCAUGGGCUUUUGAGUUGACCAACUUGAGAAAAAUUUCUGACUUGAUGCAUGAAAUGAAACGAAGGCAGGUGACACAUAAAGGAAAUGACAAGACACGAUUGAAAACUAUUGACCCUCAAGUUAUCACAAAUGGUUAUGAAAUGGAAAUGGAAUGGGAAGGAGUAUGAAAAAAUAAGCUGAAUACUGACAAACCUAAGGUACCCCAAAGUCUAUGGAAACUCCAAUUUAACGAGGGGAUGAAUAAGAAAUUUACUUCUCAACAAACAACAAAUAAUGGUUUAUAACCAUGGAAGCAUUCUGAGAGAAGUAAAUAUGUCAUCGAUUUUAAAUAGCAGUGUUAUCCAGCAGAGAGCAGAUCAAUGAAAGUUGCAUAGGUUUUCACAUGCUUCAGGAUAUUAAAGAACAAUCCCAUUUCCCCCCUCUAUAAACCAUUCCAUCCAGAAGAGUAAUUUUAAAUGUGCUAUAAAUCAUUAUCUGUUCAACAACCAAUCUGCAUUCAGAAAAGUUAUAUCCAUUCCUAUUCUUCUUCCUUGGAACAAUUUAAAAUGCUCUCAUUUUUUGCUAACCUGUAGGCCUGCUUUGGGUCUUCUGACUGGAUAUGUGGUAAAAAAAAAAUAAGUUAUUUCUCAAAUUUAAUAUAACAAAUACUAGGAGAGAAAACUGAUGUAUUUUCUUUAGAAAAAGUACUCAAUGAUUAUCAGUUGGGCAAUGUUUAUUACAGCCUUGUAAAUGGGUCGAUAAGAUUUAUUGCUGUUUCAAAGAUAGAGUGAACAAUAUCUAGAUAAUUACAAAGAUUUGCUUCAUCUACACAAAGGUAGAGUGAUGAAGAAUCAUAAUGAAUAAAGACUAAGAUUUUCAUCAACUA
Homo sapiens (human) is the source of this 981-nucleotide long non-coding RNA. RefSeq lists it as uncharacterized. NCBI's taxonomy places the organism in Eukaryota, Metazoa, Chordata, Mammalia, Primates, Hominidae. The record is from RefSeq and is a predicted model, not a curated record. The transcript has 3 exons.